This is a long non-coding RNA of Micropterus dolomieu (smallmouth bass), 536 nucleotides long. RefSeq lists it as uncharacterized. The transcript is spliced from 3 exons. NCBI's taxonomy places the organism in Eukaryota, Metazoa, Chordata, Actinopteri, Centrarchiformes, Centrarchidae. The record is from RefSeq and is a predicted model, not a curated record.
CAGAGCACGAGGCUGCUGUUUGGCUCCUGCGGUCCGGGUUCUGGUUCUCCAUCGUCCUGCAGGUCUGUGACUGGUGGACCGUGUUGUCCUGGACUGAGUCUGGAUUCUGGUCUCGGAGCUCUUCAGGCUGCGGGCCUUUCCGGAAGUAAUUCCUCUCCGUUUGCGCGUUCACGCUGAGGCCGGAGUGGUAGCGGGUUCCUCCAGUGCUGCUUGUUGAAGGUGUGUAACAGCCUUAGCUGCACGAUGGGGAACCUUUCUUUCAAACGUCAUCCUCACGGGUAGGACUAGUGACCAAAUGAGUUGUGGGAAACGACUUCAAGUGGCGAGUCGUAAACCUCCAAAAAGACGACAGUAAGAAGUAGAAAACGAGUGAGUCUGUUUAAACAAGUCACUAAACUAGACUAAAGACUCCCAUACAAAGAAGAGAAUCUGCACGUCCAGCCGAUCAACCCAGCUACACCUGAAGAAGCUGCAGCCGGAGGCUCCGUGGGUAAAAUCAGCUGACAAUUGAUGUGAACAGCAAAUAAAAAUGUACA